RNAcentral lists this long non-coding RNA (508 nucleotides) under Cricetulus griseus (Chinese hamster). RNAcentral's name for it is "lncRNA (ENSCGRG00015034993.1)". Lineage: Eukaryota; Metazoa; Chordata; Mammalia; Rodentia; Cricetidae. The record is from RNAcentral.
CUGGCAUUAAACAUCUUCCCUCAACAUGGGGCUCUGUACAAGUCGUACGUUACUUCAAAGGCAAACAGAGCCACGGGGGAAAACAGAUCUGUCGCCGGCAAGGGCUCCCGGGACUCAAGCUGUCUUGUCUUUGUGACGUGCCAGCGGCUGGCAAGAGAUAUCACCUGCUUCAAUAAGGCAGAUAGGAACAUACUGAACCAAGAAGAGGUCCAGAAGGUCCAGGGGCUGAGGCUGGGGCAUUGAGCUUCCGAGGCCAGCCUGGAUUACAUAGCAAGACCCCAAACAAACACUUGUCCUGUGUCUCCAAGAUUGGCCUUGAACUUGAUGUGUAGCAGAAGACAACUUUGAACUGCUUCCCCAGCCAGCCCUUCUGAUGUUGGAGAUUACAGGCCUUAGAGCACAGGCACGCUUAUCCAUUCAGACACUGUGUAUGUGUCCACACUAGCUGCAGCAGUCUCUAUGCCUGUGACUGUCAACGGGCCGGCCCUCCUCAGUUUACUGAUUCCUG